AUUGAACGCUGGCGGCAUGCCUUACACAUGCAAGUCGAACGGCAGCACGGACUUCGGUCUGGUGGCGAGUGGCGAACGGGUGAGUAAUACAUCGGAACGUGCCUAGUAGUGGGGGAUAACUACUCGAAAGGGUGGCUAAUACCGCAUGAGACCUGAGGGUGAAAGCGGGGGAUCGCAAGACCUCGCGCAAUUGGAGCGGCCGAUGCCCGAUUAGCUAGUUGGUGAGGUAAAGGCUCACCAAGGCGACGAUCGGUAGCUGGUCUGAGAGGACGACCAGCCACACUGGGACUGAGACACGGCCCAG
RNAcentral lists this ribosomal RNA (304 nucleotides) under uncultured bacterium. Its description in RNAcentral is "bacterial SSU rRNA". It matches the Rfam family "Bacterial small subunit ribosomal RNA", at positions 30 to 334 of the family's 1533-position model. The record is from RNAcentral.